AGGUAAGUAUUUAAAUCAUAAAAUCUAAUUUGCGAUUAGAAAUCAUUGGAAAACCCAAUCUUACCUA
Molecule: non-coding RNA, 67 nt
Organism: Limulus polyphemus (Atlantic horseshoe crab)
Lineage: Eukaryota; Metazoa; Arthropoda; Merostomata; Xiphosura; Limulidae
Source: the annotation of a RefSeq genome assembly